CCUACGGGUGGCAGCAGUGGGGAAUAUUGCACAAUGGGGGAAACCCUGAUGCAGCAACGCCGCGUGAAGGAAGACGGUUUUCGGAUUGUAAACUUCUGUUCUUAGGGAAGAAAUAUGACGGUAGCUAAGGAGCAAGCCACGGCUAACUAGGUGCCAGCAGCGGCGGUAAUACGUAGGUGGAAAGCGUUGUCCGGAAUUACUGGGUGUAAAGGGGGCGCAGGCGGGAAGUUAAGUCAGCGGUGAAAACUACGGGCUUAACUUGUAGACUGCAGUUGAAACGGGUUUUCUUGAGUGAGGUAGAGGUAGGCGGAAUGCCUGGUGUAGCGGUGAAAUGCGUAGAUAUUAGGAGGAACACCGGUGGCGAAGGCGGCCAGCUGGGCUUUAACUGACGCUGAGGCACGAAAGUGUGGGGAGCAAACAGGAUUAGAUACCCGGGUAGUC
RNAcentral lists this ribosomal RNA (441 nucleotides) under uncultured bacterium. RNAcentral's name for it is "partial 16S ribosomal RNA". It matches the Rfam family "Bacterial small subunit ribosomal RNA", at positions 338 to 795 of the family's 1533-position model. The record is from RNAcentral.